This 320-nucleotide ribosomal RNA is filed under the name uncultured Prevotella sp. RNAcentral describes it as "partial 16S ribosomal RNA". Lineage: Bacteria; Pseudomonadati; Bacteroidota; Bacteroidia; Bacteroidales; Prevotellaceae. The record is from RNAcentral.
GGAGUCUGGUCCGUGUCUCAGUACCAGUGUGGGGGACCUUCCUCUCAGAACCCCUAACGAUCGUUGGCCAGGUGGGCCGUUACCCCGCCGACUGCCUAAUCAGACGCAUCCCCAUCCCUUACCGAUGAAUCUUUGCUCCUCGUUAGAUGCCCGCAAAGGAGAACAUAGGGCAUUAAUCCGACUUUCGCCGGGCUAUUCCCUAGUAAGGGGAAGGUUGGAUACGCGUUACUCACCCGUGCGCCGGUCGCCAUCAAAGUUUGCAAGCAAACUUCAUGCUGCCCCUCGACUUGCAUGUGUUAAGCCUGUAGCUAGCGUUCAUC